UACGCCUACAGAUUCUAGCGAUACGCUCGGGGAGAGAGGACGGGGAGUCGGCGGAUACAUGGCGUACCCGCCGUCCUUGGUGGCUGCGGCGCAAGUACGGCGAGGCCAUGGCGCUGCCCCGGCCCCCCAUCCACUGCCCCCACACUCCCGGUUCAGAUUUGAAUCUCCAGCGCUACCUUUCCCCUUCCUCCUUCCUCCAGCCUCCGAACGAGGGGGUACCAGAGGCGCCCUCGCCAUGUCCGUCGCCUUGGGUUCGGAUCCGGCUACUGCAGCUCGCCGGUGACACCGUGGACUUCUGGUUGCUGCUCACUGCUGCUCAACUACAAGGCACUCCAUCAGGUCUGAGCAAAGUUUUCUGAUGGUGACGCGAACGUUUCUCUCACCGAGGCAUGGAGGAUGGCUGGUGGUGGUGCUUGCCAUGCCCUCAAGCGCCAGCCUCCCAAGCUGUUGCUGGUGCUUGCCUCCCUGCCGGAGCUGCUGCUCCUAAUGCCGUCCACCACUAUGUGCCGCUGCUGCCGAUUAACUUCCAACCUGCUCUUGACAGUCAAUUACACAACAUGGAGAUGCAGCCGGCAUUUUCCCUGAGCUGCUGCUGCCAGCAAGUGCUCCGGAGGUGGUGUGGUUGUACAGCCCUGAAGCCGUGGUGAUGGCCAGCGGCGUUUCAGGUGGCGACUUCCUUCCCUCCACUUGGACGGCUCAUGCAUGGACCAUAUGGAAGGAAGCAUAGAAGAUAUGAGACAUUUUUGGUGAUUCGAGUGAGAAGGAUAUGGCAGGGAACUUAGUCUGAAUUUUGAAAAUGGUGAACAAUAGGAUAUGACGUGUGAUAAGUUGUGGUUUCUCAAAUACUUAGCAGUUAUGACAUGAUUUUGGUGACCCCUAUUCAAAAUAGGGCGUCUACAACGCUCUCUUUUUAUGUGUAAUAUGGAUGUUUGCGUUGAAUUUGAGACUUCAUUUGAUA
Molecule: long non-coding RNA, 958 nt
Organism: Lolium perenne
Lineage: Eukaryota; Viridiplantae; Streptophyta; Magnoliopsida; Poales; Poaceae
Source: RefSeq, a predicted model, not a curated record